Molecule: ribosomal RNA, 859 nt
Filed under: uncultured bacterium
Lineage: Bacteria
Description: bacterial SSU rRNA
Rfam family: Bacterial small subunit ribosomal RNA
Source: RNAcentral
AAGUCGAACGCGAAAGUCCCCUUCGGGGGACAAGUAGAGUGGCGCACGGGUGAGUAACACGUAGGUAAUCUACCUUCGGGUGGGGAAUAACAACCGGAAACGGUUGCUAAUACCGCAUAAUGCAGCGGCACCUAAUGGUGACAGUUGUUAAAGCGGGGGAUCGCAAGAUCUCGCGCCUGAAGAGGAGCCUGCGGCGGAUUAGCUAGUUGGUAGGGUAAUGGCCUACCAAGGCGACGAUCCGUAGCCGGCCUGAGAGGGCGGUCGGCCACACUGACACUGACAUACGGGUCAGACUCCUACGGGAGGCAGCAGUCGGGAAUUUUGGGCAAUGGGCGAAAGCCUGACCCAGCAACGCCGCGUGAAGGAUGAAAUCCCUCGGGAUGUAAACUUCGCAAGAACAGGAAGAAUAAGUUUGUGCUAACACCACAAGCGAUGACGGUACUGUUUGUAAGCUCCGGCUAACUCCGUGCCAGCAGCCGCGGUAAUACGGGGGGAGCAAGCGUUGUUCGGAUUUACUGGGCGUAAAGGGCGCGUAGGCGGCCGCCGCAAGUCAGAUGUGAAAUCUCCGAGCUUAACUCGGAAAGGUCAACUGAUACUGCGGGGCUAGAGUGCGGAAGGGGCAACUGGAAUUCUUGGUGUAGCGGUGAAAUGCGUAGAUAUCAAGAGGAACACCUGCGGCGAAGGCGGGUUGCUGGGCCGACACUGACGCUGAGGCGCGAAAGCUAGGGGAGCGAACGGGAUUAGAUACCCCGGUAGUCCUAGCCUUAAACGAUGAAUGCUUGGUGUCUGGGGUUAUAUAGUCCCCGGGUGCCGUCGCUAACGCUUUAAGCAUUCCGCCUGGGGAGUACGGUCGCAAGAC